CGCCAGACUCCUACGGGAGGCAGCAGUGGGGAAUAUUGCACAAUGGGGGAAACCCUGAUGCAGCAACGCCGCGUGAAGGAAGACGGUUUUCGGAUUGUAAACUUCUAUCAAUAGGGAAGAAAGAAAUGACGGUACCUAAAUAAGAAGCCCCGGCUAACUACGUGCCAGCAGCCGCGGUAAUACGUAGGGGGCAAGCGUUAUCCGGAUUUACUGGGUGUAAAGGGGGCGCAGACGGCGAUGCAAGCCAGGAGUGAAAGCCCGGGGCCCAACCCCGGGACUGCUCUUGGAACUGCGUGGCUGGAGUGCAGGAGGGGCAGGCGGAAUUCCUGGUGUAGCGGUGAAAUGCGUAGAUAUCAGGAGGAACACCGGUGGCGAAGGCGGCCUGCUGGACUGCAACUGACGUUGAGGCCCGAAAGCGUGGGGAGCAAACAGGAUUAGAUACCCUUGUAU
Molecule: ribosomal RNA, 450 nt
Filed under: uncultured bacterium
Lineage: Bacteria
Description: partial 16S ribosomal RNA
Rfam family: Bacterial small subunit ribosomal RNA
Source: RNAcentral